GCUUAUAAUAAAAAGUUAGGUGCUUAACGGCAUAAAGGGAACCGGAAGCUGACUUCAAUGGUUAGCUGAGUCCGGACUGUACCCGCAACUGUAGGAAAGAUAGCAUUAGGCUAUUUUUCAAGUCAGAUACCUGCCUAACUGAAUGUUGUUCG
This 152-nucleotide non-coding RNA is filed under the name Shewanella pealeana. RNAcentral also lists the same sequence under 1 other name. The record is from RNAcentral. Lineage: Bacteria; Pseudomonadati; Pseudomonadota; Gammaproteobacteria; Alteromonadales; Shewanellaceae.